Non-coding RNA from Xyrichtys novacula (pearly razorfish), 15901 nucleotides. The record is from the annotation of a GenBank genome assembly. NCBI's taxonomy places the organism in Eukaryota, Metazoa, Chordata, Actinopteri, Labriformes, Labridae.
UUUGCAUUUAACUCUAUAAAAAUGUCCAGAGUCUUUAGUAAAAAAUGACACAAAAGGAUCUCAAUGAGUUUUAUGAGGUGUCAAAGGUUGAUCCUGAUCCAGACAAAAUUCCAGAUACUGUGAUCCAGAACACACAAAAAUAAGGGUGUCAUUGGAAUUUUCAAUGCUGAAAGAUAACCAAUGGGCGGCACAGUGGUGUAGAUAGGCGGUACAGUGGUGUAGUGGUUAGCACUGUCACCUCACAGCCAGAAGGUCCUGGGUUUGAAUCCGGGUCAGGGCAUUUCUUGUUUUAGGAACAUGAUGAACAGUGAACAUACCAGUUUAAACACAAAUAAAAGUUAAUAAAAUACACGUAACAGUAAAAGUUUUGGUGUGAAUCACAAUAUAAGGGGGGACAUGAGCUGCUUGGCGGAGGUCUGUGCUCUCUGAGUGCUUUUCGAGUUGAAAAUGAGUCACUAUUGUUAUGAGGUUUGACCGAUUAUAAUCAAGAACUGAGCAGAGCCUGGUAAUCAUCAAGAAAGCCAGAUAAGAAUCAAACAGGUGUUGUUGUUUUGAGUUUGUCCAUUGUGUCAAACUCCAUUGUUUGUCCAUUUCAGUGUUUUUGUUUGCUGUAUCAUUCCUUGUUCCAAAGUGGAAAAGUGGUCGACAGUAAAACCAGAUGUAAAAGUCAAGUCUGAGCCACAAAGAGCAGAGAUAAUCCAAAAAAUUAAACAUGUUCUUUUUUCAAAAGAAAACAAAAUCUUUAUGAAUGAAAAGAGGAGUUUGAAUAAUUGGCACUGAUUUUGUACACUUUCAUGAUCUUUGUACUGCAUUUGAUUUGUUUUGCCGAACCUGUAGUCCUGAGGAAUUUCUGCACUUUCAGUUCUAUAGAUAGAGAGUAAAAAGUCAUUGAAAACUGAAGUCGAUCCUUCUCAAACAAACAACUUCACGCAGGCUAAGUGCUAUUGGAGAAGUUAUUUUGGCUCAACUAUUUCGGCAUCUUGUUGAACUCGAUCCUAUUAUGUCUAAAGUAUGCUUGAGAUGGUUGAUGGUACGGCUCAUGUUUCUGAAAGUCCUCUCUCAUCCAGCACACUUUUAACUCUACCAUUAAAUUACUACACCGACAUCCUCCAUGUUCUUUCUGUUUUCUAUCUUACAGCUGUUUCCAACUCCUACAGACACACAGGACAAAUGAAAACAUACACUGUUAAUUUUGCUUUGCAUAUGCACAUCUUGAAUACUAGUGCUUGUACAAACACUGUUAGGAGACUCUAAUAAUUAAACAAAUAUUAGCAGUGAGGGUGUGUUGAGUAGCACUCAUACCAAACACAAGUGUUCCCUCACAUUAGUGUUGAGAAGACCCAUCUUCAGAGAGCCAGAGGGAUCCUAUAUGUGUAGUGAUCAAGUGUUGGGAGAUAAAUCAUGUCUAUGCGUUUCAUUGUCGGGCAUAACGAUAACAUAUUACUGCUUGAAUCCAGAGAGACAACAUGAUGAGGCAAUUAACUGUGUGGGAUACACACUCAUCUAAUUAUUAGAAGUUUUGUUUGUGUUGGAGCUCCCUGGAGACUAAGGUGUAGGAGUUUGAGUGUUGCCCACUUGAUGUGCUGCUUUUUAUCGAGGUCCGCUGUGGGAUUACGUCCACUGAGAUGUGCUGAUCAGUAGAUUGAUUAUCGUCCCAUUAAAAAUCCGUACCACACGCUUCUCUUCAGCCAUAUCAUCAUGUUCAUUUUACUUCAGUUGAAGGUAGUAUCACAGUUUUAUUCUGUAACACAGAAACAUCAAACAUAUCCAGCUGUGUUCGUUUAUUUUUCUGUACCAACUGCUUUACUAAUUCAUCACUGGAUACAAAUUAUCAUCCAGUGCCAACAGCUGUUGCCCUUCAAACCCUAAAAGCAUGUAGGUAAUUAUUACAGCUCAGCGGGAAUGGCAAUAAUUUCCCUAAACAUUAUAGUACUACAAACAAUGCACACAUGUCACUGAUGGCUCAAAAUGUACGUGUCCAAUAAACCACCCACAUAGUUACCAUGGAUACUCCACCAUAAAUACGUAAAGCACAAUGAUGCGAUUUAUGCUAAUCUAUGUGAAACAUCUUUUGAAGCUGUGAUGACUCAACAGGUUAUCGGUGGAGUCUUGAUUAAACUUGAAUCAAACAAUGUUUUGGAAAUGCCCUCACUUUAUUCCUGUCUCUCUUCAGUUGAAGUAUUUUGACCUACAUGGAGAGACAGGGUGAAGUAAUGUGGUUACAUGCUGUGGGUAUGCUGGUGUGUUGGGGUUCACACUAUGUCGAUAACACAAAGAUAAAGCAUAAAAACCAUUACACAAUAACCUCGUAAUGCAAAACAGCAGAUGCAGCUUUUGAUUCUGUUAUUUUCAAACCCUUACAUGAUAAUAACUUUGAUUACAUUGAUUACCAGGCUUUUUGGCGUCCUCAUGGAAGUGACAAGACUCCUGAUGUAUUUCACAUUUUGUCAAUGUGUUUUACUUAUGGCUCUAUAGCUACAGAUUAUGUAACCUCAAUAUGACCUCUGACCCAUAACCCUAGCUAUAGUGCACAGGUUUGAUAUCUUUAUGUUCCUUUUCAUAUUAUUGUUGCACCAUCAAUUCAGUUGAACUUGAACGCCUCAGCAUGAUGCUGAGCUGAGCAUCACACAGGAAUCCUCAGAUCAAAGGGAUAAUCCAGCGUCAAAUUAAGUUAGGGUCAAACACACUGCAACACCGAGUUAGACACCCCUGAAGAGAUGAAUGUUGCCGACUGCUUGCUUCUCUAGUUAUAUCAACUUUAGUGACAACCACACAAUAACAAUACACAGUGGUUUCAGCAGCCACACACUCAACCAAAAAGCCACUCUAUAGCCACAAAUAAUGCUCAGAACAGCACCUAACUUCAUCAACAGUACAUACAGGGUCCCAGCCAUAGUACUAGCCACCAAACAUCUUUUUAGGUUUGCCUAAUUUCUUUAGCAAAGAGACUAAACACAACUCACCUACUCUCUUCCAGCAGCUGCUAGUUUGUGUGGAGACCUCAGACGAGUCCAUUACUGACUGCAGCGGGGUGACACAGCUCAAGGAAGAACAUUUAUGAUCAUUUUUUCAUGGAAAUGCAAUCAGACCGAGACGCUGUGGCAGAAGAACUACCGCGUCUGCAGUGCAAAAUGCAAAAUGAUCAAUAUGAUGAUUAUUACUUCAUGGAAAUUGUCGUGAUCUGUGUUUUGUUGAAUCCACUUCCUGUUUUAUUUUGAAGAUCCUGUUUUCCCUGUGUUGCUGUUACUUUUACUUCCGGUCUUUGUUCUUUUUCCCGCCUUAGUUAAUUACUCCAUUGGCUUCACCUGUGUCUUGUCCCCUUCUCUAUUUAACCCCUCCUCACUAGCUCUUCCCUGCCAGAUUGUCUUUGUCACUUUUGUACAAGCUCUCUCGCGUUUUUGAUAUUUCUCUGCUCUCUGUGUAUGACCUGUUUUGAUCGCCCUGGACUUCUGAUUCUUGCCUGCCCCACUGGUUUUGUCACCUGAUUAUUUGCUGCUCUGUUGAUUUUGACCCUGCUGUGUUUUUGUUGGAUUAAAAGACUUUGCCUUUUUGGAAACUGAACAACUGCCUCACGUCCUCUGCUUUUGGGUCCACACACUCUCGGCCCCUCACAGGAAAUGAUCUGCUGCACUCGGUGACGGACUCCUCAGGGCUCCCUACAAACAAGUGGCUUCUGAAGGAGAGUAGGUGAGUUGUAUUUAGUCUCUUUGCUAAAGAAAUGAGGCAAAGCUAAAAAGAUGUUUGGUGGCUCGUACUAUGGCUGGGACCCUGUAUGUGCUGUUGAAGAAGUUAGGUGCAAUUCUGAGCAUUAUUUGUGGCCAUAGAGUGGCGUUUUUUGUUUAGCGUGUGGCUCUCAGUAUUGCUGUCGUGUGGUUGUUACUAAAGUUGGUAUAACUAGAGAAGCAAUUGGUCGGCAACAUUCAUCUCUCGAGGGGGUGUCUAACUCUGUGUGUUCCGGUGUCUUUGAUGCUAACUUAAUUUGACGCUGAAAUAUCCCUUUACAUAUGACUUUAUUUUUGCACUGUCAGUUGCAUUACUAAGAAAAUUCACUAGCAUAGGUAGUGGCAUGCAUCAUUGUGUUGUGUGUGUGCAGAUGGGCGCUGAGAAUUCUUUUAUAUUACAGAUAUGUGUAUCAUCACUUCUCUUCCUCCAAACCUUCCAUCAAAUCUUAUCAUUGUGCAACAAAAUGUUCAUUUAAUCAAGCACAGUUUUACAAGUAUUUGUACCAUCAUUUAACCAAUCCAUUCAUCACACUUUACACACCCUGCCCUGGGCUGGCUUUAUAGUCAUUUGCAUUUUCAUGUCCAUCUUAUAUGAACAUAAUAAAAAAUGGAGAUAAAAAUCUGAUUGAACUAGUAUGUACACACUUUGAUUCACACUCAGCAUGUGAACUUCAGAUCUCCAAGGUGCAUAUAUGGGUCAUGCUUUGUUCAGCCCAUCAACUGAGCCCACAGUUAAUCAUCCUGUACCCUCUGAUAAAUUGGUCACAGCCACAAAGUUGGCUAGAAAUGGCUGAGAAACACACUAUGAAAGACAACAUGGAGUUUUUUUUUCCAUGGAGAGUGUUAAGUGAACAUGAAUGGUACCUUUGUCUGUUUUGGAUAAAAGGAGACACGUGUUCAAAAAAGGAAAACCUGUGAUCAAAACUUCAACAAUGGUUUGCAACUGUUCCACUGCUAUAACAGUGCUUUUAUAUCUGCAUUGCAUUAUAUUUUUAUGGCUUUAUCAAGCAAUUAGAUCAAACAUUGCAUGACGGGCCAACUGGCACCAUGAUAAAAGACACUGCUCCAGUUCAAGAAGUAGUCUGCUAAGCUUCUCUGUGUAUGUUUUACAGGGUUUGAAUACUUUGCUAUAAUAAUCUAACAAGCUAUAACAUGUAAACAUGGGAACUUUAAAGCCACUUCAUGUCUUUUUUGUUUGUUAGCUUCACAAAACUAGAGCUUUAGCUUUACUGUACUGCCAUGAAAUCAAUAUUAACCUUCAAAUCCAACUUUCUGUUGGAAGUAAAUGCUUAAAGGAGUUUUUAAUAUUUGUAAAAUAGACUAAAAUUCAUACUCAUGCCUUUUGAUAAUAAACUAAAGCAAAUAAGACCAUGAGCAACAAGAUUGAUAAUUUUUAUCAUGCGAUUUUUAAUGCCUGAAAAAAGUGUGAGGGGGGAAGGUGUCAACUGUGCAGAAGAAGCAACAGCACUGGUUUAACAAUUCCCACAUUAAAUAUUCACAGCAAAUUUGACUGGGAAACACGACUUAAGGCUCCUGUAAGGUACUUUAAGUUUCUGCCAUUUUUGUUACCCCCUGUCCUCUACGUGACUGAAUACUGUCUCUUGGCUGUUCAGCUAACACCUACCCCCUCACACCAGCUUCAGGUAUUGAAAGUUAAACUUUAAAAAUCCUCAAUCUUGUGGCUGAUGGUUCUGCUAGCUUUGGAUAUCAUGAGAAAGCAUCAAUAUUGAUUUCAUUCUACAUCAUAAAAGUCAAGAAACUCUUUAUAGAAGCUUUGAGAAAAGUAUAAUCAUUCUUAAAACCUCCCAUACAGAUGAUAAAAUGCUAACUGCACUGUGCCGCUUCAUGCUCAUAUCUAACUAUUACCAGUAAACUAACAGCUGACCCUCACCCGACCUCUGACCUCGUGACACCCACUCUAGUGAACAUACUUCAUAUUUUCAAACUGGUUUUCAAACUAUUACAGCUCUGGAAAAUCCGUUACAUUUUUACACUCAGGCUUGAAAUCGGUUGACACUAAGUCGAGCAUCACACAGAAAGUGUGACUGCUUAAUUUCUCAGAGUCAGUUGCCUGUCUUAUGAACUUUAUCGGGAAAUGUUGUGGCACGUUUCACUGCGGUGUGGGUGUGCAGAUGUGUGCUAAGUGUUGAUGUGUGAAUAAUUUCUGAUUAUGGUGGAGUAGUCUUGCUGAAUAAUGUUGCGGAAAUGUCAUUUCUUAAAAGCAGAACUGAAUUUUUAACGUGUUUGAAGGUAAAUUGAGCCUUUAUGUUAUACAGUGCAGGCACAUCAAUGCUCUUAUCAUUAUCCAUUUAGUACUCCCUGCUCUCAAGCUGUAAAGACCUAUAAGACAUAUAAGUCCAUCUUCACAUGUUCACAAGACUCUUGUGGGUGUGUGUCUUGGUUUCUGCUGUGUGUUAGCUUUCUCAUACUAGUUUCCAGAUAAAGAUUUUUUUUAAGAUACAUUGUUUAAUUCUGGGGAGGCGAAAGGUAAUUGAGGAUCUCUCUUGAGCAAACUUGGAUUUUGGCUGUUGGAGAUAAACUUGAUUUGACAUCUAUCCCAUGAUGAUGGCGCUCACAGAUAAAUGCUCCACUUCCUGCUUUUUCUGGCAGUGGACCGGAGUCACAAGCUUGCACAGGCAGCCAUGGGGUUGAUUAUCUUGCAGCUCCAUGGCCACGCUCCAUACGGAAACAUCACUGUGUCUCCUCUUUGUGCUGUGUUGCGAGGCAGGCAGGAUCCUGGCACAGCCUGCGGACUUCCACUGUGAGCUUUUUAUGGUCAGCCUGAAUGGAGCACUGAUGAAAAAUGGAGAUCACUUCAGGCCCCACUGUUCUUGUCAGAUUUUGCUCCUGGGAACCACAUUUAUUAAAAAAAGUUUUUUCAUGUCUUGUGACCCACACUGAUUUCUUGUGCCAAUUUCUAUGCUAAUCUGUGAAAAUGUAUCCCUAUACUUACUGGAUACAAAGCAGGCUGCACUUCCAGGUUGUGUUUUAUUCACACUUUCCUUCAUAGAGGAAAGAAGCACUGAACCUACAUAUUUGUAUUUGCAGUUCUUGGAUGGAUCAAUUUGCAUUCCCUCCGUUCCAUCCUACAACUCUCAGUCCCACAUUGUAUUAACCCUUGUGACCUCCUACGUUUUAGACUGUGGUGUGACUCCAAACUGUGCUUGCAGAGGCUUUCUCCUGAGACAAUACACCUAGGAAUGAACACUCAUUCUAACAUUCAUGUGCAUACAUGCAGGUGCACACAGAAAUAUGGGGACAUGGGUCACAUCAUUAAUGCAGCCUCACAGAACCAGGCCAGAUCCAGUGCUCUUUACGGCACACACUGAAAAUGGACUGUGCGUGUCUGUCAGACUUUCAUCACCUGCCACAGCUCCUCAAGUUUGUAUUUUUCCUUCUCUGUAAUCCGCCCCUGAAAUCCCAGUCAAUAUGUUUGUACUGCGAGAGUGUGUGGGAGGCAGGGGGAGUGAAAAGGGGUGAGGAAGACUGUUUGAUUAAAAGACUGUAUUGACAGAUAUGAGCAAACAGGAACAAAUCUGUGCACUGCACAACAUAAUGGUUUGUAAAAUCAGGGUAGGGUGUAUGUUAGCAUGUCUCUGUUGGUACAUGAGUACUCCAUGUGUGUUUAUGUGGGUGUGUUUGACAUAUGUUGGUAAGUGGUGGAGUAUUUCUGUCAUACUGUGUCUCCGCCUGCAGUGAAAGCCGAUAGCAUCCUGUGGUUAAAUCAUUUUACUCAGUGGAGAGUAUUGAAAGAAACACUAAAGCUACAGUUAAGACUUUAACUCACUGGCAAGACCUCACAUGUGACCUGAGACAGGCCGAAAAACCAGAGAGAACACAAGCGGGAAAAGAUUUCAGGAUUUCAGGCUGUGUAAACUCAAAGCUCAAGUGGUAGACAGCCUACUCCAAUAUAAGAACAUUAGUUGUGUGUAAGUGAUUUACUGUAUGCGUAUGUCUAAAAGCCUUUUUUUCACCAAGGGGACUUUUCCAAAAACCUUUCUAAGAAUCCAGGAUCUUGACUUGUUUUGCCUCAGAGGAGUCAGGGUCUUAAUUUGUGUCUAAGCAACAGAAAGUCCCUGCUUUAUGAGAAAUAUGGGUAUUUACUCUUUUUGCCAGGACUUCGAUAAGAGGAGUGAUAACACUGUCAAGCCUAUUCAGUAAACACGAAGCUGCUGCCAGAAGCUAGCUUGCAUAACUUUGCAAAAAUACUGAGAACAUGGGGGAUCAGAUAGCUCGGCUUUGGCUUCACUUCUUGGAGUCUCAGAUGGUUGCCCAGCAAAGUGAUGAUCAUGAUUGCCCGAUACCAAAAGUUAUUUUAGGACAUGAAGACUUUAAGAGCACAAAUUCUACACAUAUGAACUUUGGUGCACUAUACUUUGUAAAUGUAAAAGGUUUUUGCAUCUGGCAUCUUUUAUUCUCUCUUUAGAUACAAUCUGGUAAAAAUGGCGCACAUGUGAUACUACCAAAGUGACCAAAAUCAAUCUAUUUGUGGGUGUUGUGUGUGCCUAGUUGUGGAUGCAUGAGUGAAAUAAGUCAUAUUUUUAUCUCAUGCUCACUCUAGUGAUGUGAUUUCACUCACCAUGGGUAUGUAUGCGUGUGUAUGCAAGGAGCGCAUGAGAUGGGAUUCACUCUUGACAAGCAAAAAGCAGCUUAUCAGCUAGGGCACAUGUGAAGAGAAAGAAGUUGUCUGACCAGGGAGGGCAAUGUGAAAGUGUGGAUGCAGGGAGCUGAAAAUGUCACAGUGAGGAAGAAAGAAUGUUUAGGCAGUGAAGGAUGAGAAGAGAAAUGCAAUCUGGGCCCAGACAGAGGUGUAACAGACCAAUUUGUUUGUGGUGUAAUGGAGAGAAGAUGGGUUGGCUCGGGUGAUAAGUUGGCCAGGUCUGGGCCAGGCUGGACUGGGAGGAUAAGAGAGGUUCUGAGGUCUGUGAGAAAAACAUUCAGAUAGACAAAUAUGUGGUGCAGCCGAAAAAAGAAAGGUGAAGUUAAAAGGAACAAAAAGCUGUAGAUGUGAUAUAUCAGCAAUAUAAAGCGGACAGCUUAUUUACAGAGCUGUUUUAAGUCCGGGGGAAGUUCAAGUCAAAAUCUCAAAGAAUUCAAUAUACAUCCGAGCCAAGUCUGAAGUCUUACCUCAAGUCACACAAGGUACAGCCCAGAAACAGCACAAGAAACCAAUGUGGCUGCCAUGUUGGCAUGCUGUUUAUUAGGAUAAGCAUAUGGGUUUGGUGUAAGGCCAACCAGAUGUUGAGAGCGGGGCGAUGGCUUCUGCAAACUGACCCCUAGCUACAGAGACUGGGUUUGUGUUAAAUAUUCUCAGCUUUCAUGCCCAAGGAGUCAAAGCUGCUUCAAUAAUAUACCAAUAGUGUUUUUAUGAACAACUGUUAAAGCUUUCACAAAGACAAACUAAGACUCAGACCUUUGCAAAACACAUCUGCUUCAAGAACUUUUGUACAGAGUGUCUGCUGUUGUGUUGGAUGGUAGAUUUCUGUUGUUGGUGAGUGAGGACCUGAAAAGUCAAUUUGCCAGCAAAGUAGAAACAAUCUAUUGCCAUUCAGUUUUAAUACAACCAAGUUUUUUUUCUAUCUUUUCUACAAGGUCUACUGAGCCCUUUACUCUUCCUCAGCUUUUUGGUACAUUUUAUUCCAUGGAGAGUUUGACCAAAACAGAGAAAAGAAGUGCUCCGAGCUCAUGUGCUUUAACAGCCUGCUAACUGUCCUUGAACAGCCUGUCAGCUUAGUUACUAAUAGGGCAAAGUUUGUAGGUUACAUCAUGGUGCAUUUUGAUUUCACUGCCAUCUCGCAUCGAAGUGGCAGGUAGCAGUUACAUAUCAAAAAUAACAGCAGCCUGUCCCACACCAUUGCCUCCUAAUUCCUGGAGCGUUUCACCCUGGACACCAAAACAAAAUAAAUAAAUAAAUAAAACAAGACAAAAAAAUAAAUUGCCAGAAAUAUUUGUUAAGUGGACGUCACUUUUUCGAAGAAGCACAGACUGGAUGUUUCUCUUUUAAUAGUCUAAGACACUCAGCUUGACAAACCAAAUUUACAGCCACACAAACACUUCAUCUUUCUCUCUCCCUCCUCCUCUCCUGUCAUAAAACGAUAGAGCAAACUCUGACCAUGACACACAUUAAAACAGAAUCAUCCGUCUUACGUUGGCAUUAGUUAUGUUUGAAGCCAAGACAAAAAUAUGGAUUGAGUUGAUAUAUUCAUUGAAUGUUUCAAGUUUUUUUUUUUUUGAUUUUUAUUUAUUUAUUUAUUUAUUUUUAUGGAGAGAAUAGGAAAAGGGUUAAUGCAAGAAACUGGUCGGGGGGAUGAUAUGCAGCAAUACACAAUGGUUUGUGUCACACUCAGACCACCUGCUUUAUAGUCUGUAUAGAUGGGAUGUAUGAGAAUUAACUGUUUGGCUGAAGUGGUUAGAGUGUUGAAUAGUUAUGUUUAUUUAAAGGUGAUAGUUAAAUAAAGUCAUUAAAACUCCCAUGUGACUAAGUGGUUGGUGCCUUUUGACCUAAAAAUCUCACCCUGCUGAUUUUGGACAGUCAAACCUACAAUUUAUCAUGAAUUAGGGUGACCAUAUUCUGACUUGCCAAAAGAACGUAGAAGUUAAUUUUGAGAAUUUUCGAAUGUCUUUUAUGCGCUUCUGACUCGGUAAGGUCAAACUCAAAACUUAGGUACAAAACUGCAGACAUUUGAAGCAUUUUAUAAACUUCCCCAGACAAAGCCGGACAAAGCUGGACACCCCCCCAAAAAGAGGACAUGUCCGGGUAAAAGAGGACGUAUGGUCGCCCUAUUAUGAAUAUUAUCUAAGAAAAUGUGCUUGGCUAUCAUCUACCCCCCUGAACUUGUUUCAGGCAUUAAAAAUAUUGACAUUCAAUCUUAUCAUUGAUGGUCUUGUUUACUUUUGGAUAUCAUAAAAAGGCAUCUUUAUAAACUCCAAUCUGUUUCAUUAACAUUAAAAAAUCUCCUCACAGGAACUUUAAUUGAUCCAACCAAAUAGCUGUUAGUUAAGCAGCUUUAAUUAUUAUAUUCUAUUCUUUUCAUUGAAAACUCAUCAUUAAGGCCAACUGAAGAUCUGCCCUUCUCAUUGUAUGAAGCCAUCAUUUAGAGAAAUUAAAGUGGGUCAUGAUGCUUUUGCAUUAUUCUCGCACAAAGGGUCAUCCCACUUGCUUUCAAUAGCAGUCUCAUGGUGGUCAAUAAACACCGCGUAGUCACUGCAGGACCAGCAUGACCACUGUACAUGUUGACUUAGUCCUAAAUAUUCCCAUUUAAAAUUAACUAAAAAAAAAAAAGAAAACAAAGUGGCUUAGAGCUGAUAUUUUUUCAGCUGUGCUGGUGAACACUACCGCAGGAAAGAAGCCUGAAGAUGCAUGAUUUUAUCCUGAAAUAUGUCCGAUGUUUGGUGUUCAAACAAAUAAAGUUGGGGGUUUUGAGUAUCAGCUUUCUAUGCCAAGGCACAGUUUUUGUUUUAUUUGGACUACAGCAAAGUCUUUUUCAGCAGUACUGCUAUGGGCAGACUGGAUUGACAGCUGGUGUUACUGGGAAGAGCAGGAGAGUCGGAGCAAAGGGUCAGGCCAUGAGGUCAGGAGUUGUCCCACCAGGAGAGGACGAAGGGAAGAGGAAAGGAGGAGAGGAGGAAAGUGAUAUGGGAGGAAGGGACUGGGAUCACUGACACAUGGAGAUGGAAGAGGGGAUAGGAAGGGAGGGUGGAGAGGAUAAGGGCAGAAAGGUGACACGUUCAGACAGACAGAGAGAGAGAGAGAGAGAAAGAGGGAUGGGGGAAAGAUGGAGAAAAGGAUGAGUGGGGUAGUGGAUGCUGCUGAUACACCGGUUUGACCUUGCAGACAGGCUGUGGUCACAGUUUGUGUGUGUGUGGGUGUGUGUGCGCACACCUAAAGGAUGUGUGUCUGAGUGAGUGUUUCUUUUAUUCCUGUAUGAACUGUGCUUUAUUUGCCAGGCAGGGUCAAGGCCACACAGACGCACACAAACAAGAUCAUCCAUUACACCACAGAGAAGUCCCACCAAUCACAACUGCAGCCAACAAAUCAAUGAUUAAAACUUUGUGCAUGGAUGAUUGGACAGAGUGCCGAUGGAAGGGUUUAGCUGUGUUUCUACUGUAAAACUUCCUUUUUUGUAUAUAAAAUAAAAAACAACAACCUGUUGGCUGCUAUGACAUCUCUGGCUCAGUCUUCAGGAGCAGUGUAGGGGGGGUCUGACAGCGCAGGAAAAAAACUACUCUCUCUAUAAAUGUAGCUGUAAAUUUACAAGGACUUGUGUUUAUUUGGAUUACAGCUGCUGUAUGGGUUUCUCUGCAUUUGUAGGUCUCUAAACUCUCGGGUUUCAGGUAGAGUCUUUCCUCUCCAUGUAGUUCAUUAUUCAUGGUUUGUUAACCAGCAGUUAGCCCUCCAAAGACAGACCUAUUUCUGCACUACUUUGUGCCAGCGCUGGAGAAAGGUCUGGCUCACAUAAUUCCUCACUAGGGGACUUAAACACUGUGGGUUAUUUGUUUUUCUUAAUCCAUUAUCUCCUUAGUUGGUUGGUGCUGAACCCAGACUGCAGGAGUAUUGCCAUCACUUUGAGAAGGAUUUGCUGAGAAAAUUCAGUUGCCAAAGGAAAUGCUAAUUCGGGCUAUAGAAACAUAUGAUACUUAGUCAUGGGAGAAGUACGACCCGCCAUAUGGCCAUUACAGCCUAAAAUCUUCUGGCUUGAAAGUGUUUGUUCCACGCUGGGGUUUUAAAAACUUUUACAUGCAGAUAUUGCAAGAAUACAAACAGCCCUAGGGUGUCAAGGGCAAACUUAUGUACACACACCGUCUGUACUCAGCGAACAGACUGAAGAGAGGUCGAGUGACAGAUGAGCCGUCAAAACGAGAACAUUGGCGCCCCAACUUCAUCAACUGGGCAACAAACUGGCACCCCAAACACAAGAAUUCUGCCAAAUACAAAUUUUUUGAUUAUAAUAUGCUUAGCUUGUUUAAUGAACACACUGCAGACAUUAAAAACCAUGCUCAGAGACAACAGCCAAUGAAGUAGUGUUUACCAAGACAGUUGAAGACUUUCCAUGGUGAGCAGCUGCAAGGAACAAACAAACAAACAAACAACAUAUUUGGUCCUUAUACUUCAGAAACAAAUGGGUACAAAUGUUUAAAUAUAACAUCUUGAAUAGAUUGUCGGUAAGUGAAUAAAUUUCAGUAAGAGAAGUCGAUGUUGGAGUGCCAAAAACUACUGUUCCUCAGGUGCCUGCUAGAGUCGAGCUGCACCACGUACACAUGAAGCCAAAAAAACAGUUUUUAGGGCAAAAAUAAACAUGUUUACAGCCUGGUACAAACAAAGAUUCGGUCCAAACAGCUCAAAGCCUCCAUGACAUCCACUGUAUGGGGAAUAACUUCUUUUUGUACCACCUUUAUCUUGAAGUUCUUGAGGCUACAUGAUCUGCGAAUCAGAGGCAAGGCUAACUCUGGUAAGGUUGACCUAAAGUUAGGCAUUACUAACUUGACAAUCACUGCCAUGAGGCUUCAGAACUCGAUUAUAGAAAUAAAUGGGUGAUGUUGAUAAUUCUGCGUCAGGUUAUUAUGUAGUCUUUGGUCUAUACACACAAAGACCCACACCUAUCUACUAGGGGUGGGAAUCAACAGUGACCCCACGAUAUGGUAUCAUCACAAUACUUGGGCCACGAUACAAUGUUAUUGUGGUUUUUAACAUUUUGCAAUACAGUGAUUAUUGCAAUACAAUAUAUUGUGAUUCAUACCGUUUUUUUCAAUUGUUAAGGCAAUGUAGCAUUUGUAUUUCCUUUAUAUUUGUCUUAUUUACACUAUAUUUUAUUUUCAUGUAGCACAUCUUGCUAACCUUAUGUUUCAGGUGUGACGCAUAAGGUUAAUUCUUUAUGUCUUUCCCCUGAUGCGUCUAUAUUUGUUGUACUAACUUUCUCCUGCUCUAUGAUGUCACCUCUGCCAACCUCUCAGGACAAACAGUUGAUUUUGUUUUUUCCAUUAUCAUAGAUUUGACUUCAUAUUAACAAUGAAUUUGAAAAAAAAUCGACACUUGGUCAGUGAGACAAUACGAUAUAUCACCAGACAAAAAAUCGUGAUACUAUGCUGUAUCUAUUUUUUCUCCCAUUCCUACUAUCUACCAGGUUUCUGAUUGUGUGCCUGCUGUUGUAUAAAUUCUUCUGGUGAACAUGAUUGAAUAUAAAAAGUCUACUCCAGGUCUACUCCGGGUCAUAAAUACUCUUCAGCUUCUGAACUUAUUGUUUUGGGUUCUGUUUGUAACUCUUGUGCCUCUCUUGUGCAUUGCGGCCACUGCCACGCUGGAACAUAUUGACCAUUAUUUGAUUAAUGAUGGUGGCCAUCUCUACUGCAAUCAUCUCUCAUCCUCCAGUAAUCAUGGCCUCACACGCCCAUCUGUCUGCUCUACUUUCAAUCCACAGCAUCUACCUGACAACCUGUCUUCAGCCCGAGCCUCGGUAAUGAUCCGAUCUGCCCUUGUUUCUUGGUGUAAAAAUAGUCGGAUACAUAAUUAACAUCAUCGCUCAUAACAGCUCCAAUAACUGACUGUCUUCGGUGGGAUGACGGAUGAGGGUUUGCCUCAUCUGAAGGCACAAUGAUGUUAGUCCGAAAAACUACUCAAUCACUCUGUCUUUACACUUCCUGCAUGGCAAUUGGAGGGUUGCCAAACACUGCUGCGGUUCUUUAUUUGCACUCAAUUUAGAUGGUUUGGUACCCGGACUGGUGUGUGUCUGUGUAUGUGUGCAUUCAGUCUCAGGUCUCCUCUGUCUCUCUUAUUACUUUCUUAUUCACUCCUUUCUGUCUGACUCUGUUUUCCCCGUCUGCUGCCUUUUUUUUCUGUCCUCGUCUCUCUCUCUCUCUUGCAGGUUUUCUUCUGUAAAACUCUGCCUCCCUGUCUUUGUCUCUCAUGUCAUGUCCUUCUUCUGCCUCUUGACUUAUGGUUUUACUUGGCAAUCCUUCCUGGCUGUCGGUCUGUCCAGGUCGAGGGCUUUGUGGAGUUCACUGCAUGCUAACAGAGCCCACUCAGAUCUUUGCUGUGGAUUCUGUGUCCUCUGACUCAAAGCAAAAGGCUCAGGACAGGCUCAUUAUUUGCCACACAGCCAGUGGUGGUCUCAAUCAGAUCUGCAAUAUGACUUUGUUUAGCUUGGCAGUAGCCCAGCUGACUCAUUAAAACCUGAAACCUUUGAUGGCGUAUCCAUCACUAAAGCCACAGGUGGGAUGACAUAAAUAUGUUGUUUAUUCUGAGAGAAGUCGAGUUUUUUCUGCUCCAAAAGAAAGAUUUCAGCUUUUCGGUCAGCAGGCUCACAAAAGUGAACACAGAGUUUGUUGCUUUUUUACUUCAGUUGUACUUUUAUUUCUUCACAAGCGUGGUAUGUUCAAGUCCUCCAGGAUUUUACAGAGGGCUUAUUUCCUGUUUUUGUUUAAGCCAAAAAUGCUUUCCCUUGUACUUUGAAUAUGUAAGGAGUAAGAUUGGAGCUAAAAACGCCACAGUGUGAAGUUUACAAAAAGGCCGUGGAUAAGAAAACACUAUGAGGGCAGUUUUUGUGCUUUGAUGAAUAUUGUGCAGAAAUCUUUGCUGUUCUUAUUACCUUAUGGAGGUUAUGUUUUCGGUAGCGUUGGUUUGUUUGUUGGUUUGAUUGUUGGUUUGUUUGUUUGUUUGUUUGUUAGCAACUUUAUAAAGAAAGAUACAGAUGGAUUGACCUGAAAUUUUCACCAGAGGUGCGUCUCAACCCCAGGAGGAUCCCAUUAAAUAUUGGUGGUGAUCUGGAUCGCCUUCUGGAUCCAGGAAUAUUUUGAAGGAUUCUUUAUCAUUGUGAGAUCGGGCAAAUUUUGGAAUUUUUGCAUUUAACUCUAUAAAAAUGGCCAGAGUCUUUAGUAACAAAUGACACAAAAGGAUCUCAAUGAGUUUUAUGAGGUGUCAAAGGUUGAUCCUGAUCCAGACAAAAUUCCGGAUACUGUGAUCCAGAAAACACAAAAAUAAGGGUGUCGUUGGAAUUUUCAAUGCUGAAAGAUAACCAAUAGGUGGCACAGUGGUGUAGAUGGGUGGUACAGUGGUGUAGUGGUUAGCACUGUCACCUCACAGCAAGAAGGUCCUGGGUUUGAAUCCGGGUCAGGGCAUUUCUUGUUUUAGGAACAUUAUGAACAGUGAACAUACCAGUUUAAACACAAAUAAAAGUUAAUAAAAG